RNAcentral lists this ribosomal RNA (689 nucleotides) under uncultured Candidatus Poseidoniales archaeon. RNAcentral's name for it is "bacterial SSU rRNA". It matches the Rfam family "Archaeal small subunit ribosomal RNA", at positions 233 to 923 of the family's 1478-position model. The record is from RNAcentral. Lineage: Archaea; Methanobacteriati; Thermoplasmatota; Candidatus Poseidoniia; Candidatus Poseidoniales.
UAGGGGGUGUAACGUACCCUCUAGCCAUCAACGCGUACGGGUGUUGGGAGACAUAGCCCGGAGAUGGAUUCUGAGACACGAAUCCAGACCCUACGGGGUGCAGCAGGCGCGAAAACUUGGCAAUGCGAGCAAUCGUGACCAGGGAACUCCAAGUGGCUGGGGUAAUACCCAGUUUUUUCUUGACUCUUCAAAGGUCUUGGAAUAAGGGGUGGGUAAGGACGGUGCCAGCCGCCGCGGUAAUACCGGCGCCUCAAGUGGUAGUCGCUUUUAUUGGGCCUAAAACGUCCGUAGCCGGUCUGGUGCAUUCGUGGGUAAAUCAACCCGCUCAACGGGUUGAAUUCUGCGAGCACGGCCAGACUUGGGACCGGGAGAGGUGUGGGGUACUCUCAGGGUAGGGGUAAAAUCCUGUCAUCCUGAGAGGACCACCUGUUGCGAAGGCGCCACACUAGAACGGAUUCGACGGUCAGGGACGAAACCUAGGGGCACGAACCGGAUUAGAUACCCGGGUAGUCCUAGGUGUAAACGCUGUGGACUUGAUGUUGGGGGUGCUCCGAGCACUCUCAGUGUCGAAGCGAAGGUGAUAAGUCCACUGCCUGGGGAGUACGGUCGCAAGGCUGAAACUUAAAGGAAUUGGCGGGGGAGCACUGCAACCUGAGGAUUGUGCGGUUUAAUUGGACUCAACGCCGGGU